GCUUCGAUAGCUCAGUGGUAGAGCGAGAGAUUGCAGUGAGCGCUUCAAAUAUCUCUAGGUCACGUGUUCGAACCACGUUCGGAGCU
This 86-nucleotide transfer RNA is filed under the name Fonsecaea erecta. It matches the Rfam family "tRNA". Rfam says of the family: Transfer RNA (tRNA) molecules are approximately 80 nucleotides in length. The record is from Rfam by way of RNAcentral. Lineage: Eukaryota; Fungi; Ascomycota; Eurotiomycetes; Chaetothyriales; Herpotrichiellaceae.